This 434-nucleotide ribosomal RNA is filed under the name uncultured bacterium. Its description in RNAcentral is "partial 16S ribosomal RNA". It matches the Rfam family "Bacterial small subunit ribosomal RNA", at positions 27 to 507 of the family's 1533-position model. The record is from RNAcentral.
GAACGAACGCUGGCGGCAUGCCUAACACAUGCAAGUCGAACGAGACCUUCGGGUCUAGUGGCGCACGGGUGCGUAACGCGUGGGAACCUGCCCUUAGGUUCGGAAUAACUCCCCGAAAGGGGUGCUAAUACCGGAUAAUGUCUUCGGUCCAAAGAUUUAUCGCCUUUGGAUGGGCCCGCGUUGGAUUAGCUAGUUGGUAGGGUAAAAGCCUACCAAGGCGACGAUCCAUAGCUGGUCUGAGAGGAUGAUCAGCCACACUGGGACUGAGACACGGCCCAGACUCCUACGGGAGGCAGCAGUGGGGAAUAUUGGACAAUGGGCGAAAGCCUGAUCCAGCAAUGCCGCGUGAGUGAUGAAGGCCUUAGGGUUGUAAAGCUCUUUUACCCGGGAUGAAAAUGACAGUACCGGGAGAAUAAGCUCCGGCUAACUCCGUG